Molecule: long non-coding RNA, 4574 nt
Filed under: Bemisia tabaci
Lineage: Eukaryota; Metazoa; Arthropoda; Insecta; Hemiptera; Aleyrodidae
Description: lncRNA ENSSSA1UGG010744
Source: RNAcentral
UUAGAAGUUAGAAAAAAAGCUUUGGACGUAAUUUUGAAAGCUCGCCGAAAGGAAAAGUCCGGAGUGCGCUCAUUUUCAGUCCCUCCUAUCAAUUAUGAAAGCUAGUGACUACAUAUCCAUGAACAACUGGAAACAAAUCGAAAUCACAGAACCUCCGGUGCAGCAAUUCAGUCAAGAAGAAGACCUGCAAACUUUGGUUUUGUCAAAAGCUGAUGCACCAUUCAAACAUUUUCCCUGUCACAGCUAAAGUGUCGAAAGGUGUGUGAAGAUCGUCACCGAAGCUGGAGGAAAAUGCUGUGGACACGAAUAAAGAGAUGGAUACAUUCGAGCUCAACUUAAGUCGCGUCACUUGAUGUCGUCCUUCAACACAAAAUCGGAGUACUAACAUCACAACGACUAGUGAGACACUGAUAUUAUCAACUACCAGUGUUUUACGCGUGUGGCUGAGCCGAUACAACAGUUCAUCGAAGGUUUGAGUAUGGGCGGUGUUUUAAAAGUAAUGAAGCGUAAUCCUGAUAAAUUUAAGAAAUAUUUCUUGAAAAGUUCUCCACUUUCUCCGGCAGAGAUAUCUGAUUUAUUCCAACUUGAUUCCUUUUUGUGGGCUUCAGCCCCAGAGCCGGCAAUGACUUACUGGAACCGGCUGUUGAGAGACUUGGCUAAUGUUCCCGCCGGCAGCGGGCAGCGUCCCGCAGACUGAGCCGGAACAGACGAAGAAACCUGAAGAGAAGGAUCCUGAGGCGGAACAGACGAAGAAACCUGAGCCGGAACAGACGACGAAUCCUGAAGAAAAGGAGCCUGAGCCGGAACAGACGAAGAAACCUGAAGAGAAGGAGCCGGAACAGGAGGAGGAGGCGGAAGAUGCGGUCAUUGUGCGGCCUUGUGAGGCGUCCCCACCCGGACAGGGAGAGCCCCGAGAGACCCAUAAGAAUAGACGCAUAACGGAGCUCACGCCAUAAUACACAUAGUUCCGUCCGACAGAAGCACAUCCAAUGGACCACUAGACAAGGUACGAAUUUCAGCAUUCUGAUACAUGCUUCUUGACCAAAAUUUCACGUAAAACUCGAUGCGCACAAGGAAAAUUACCGAAUCAACUCCUUACGAAGAUAUUCAAGAAUUCUUGAUGCGUGAGUUCAAACCACCCGCUCAUGAAAGCUCAAUGCUCUACGUGAUUCACAUCGUGCGGUAAACGUUAUCAUGACAGUCUCUGCGAUAUAAAAAUCUGGCAACCUCAAUCUUGAUGUUUGGCUUAGCCGUAGCAAAUUACUUAUAGUUUGAACAACACAUGGUGAGAAAUGAAUAUUGCUCGAUUGAGAAGAGUGCUGAAACAGUUGUAGUGCGCGAUUUGACUCACGUAGAGCUUUGAGUUUCUUGUAAGCGGGCAGUUCAAAUUCCUUGAAACAAAUGUGAAAUAAAAACGUUAAUAUCUUCGUUAGGAGUUGGUUUCAGCAAUUUUCGUUGUGCGAAUCGUGAUUUACUUGAAAUUUUGGUUAAGGAACAUGUAUCAGAUUGCUUAAAUUCGUACCUUUUCUAGUGGUCCAUUAUUAAAAUAAAAAGAAAUCUCAUCUGAAAUAUGCUUUCAAUAGGCGUACAGAGUGCGCUGGGCCGCCCGAUCCGUAGAUCGUAAGCGGACUGUGUGGAUUCGCUGCCGCGCAUUCGAAUUAUUGCGGGUCAAAAAAGGCGCGCCUGCCCGCCCACAUAAUACACAGCGCCUUCGACAUCGUAGAAAUACUUCAAACGCUACACCGUUACACAUACGUCCCGAUGCGCAAAUUGCCUAUACUGCGCCUGCCGGAGUGUGCACCACUGCGUGACGGUGUAGCGUUGGAGGUAUUCCCAGGAUGUCGAAGGCGCUGUGUAUAGUGUGCGCGGGCGGGCGUGCCUUUUUCAGCCCGAAACAAUUCGAAUGCACGGCAUCAGCAAAUUUAAAUUAUCACAACAUUGAGUAUGAACCGUAGUCAAGCGUACGAACAUUCGAGAGUUACCUUUCCCUCGAUGAAAUGUUUAUUUUUGAGGAAAGUGGUCCUUGUCUAGCGGUCCAUUCUUUGAAAAGAAUCGUCCAGCGGGCCCGGAAUGCUACCGACACAGCGCCCUCAAACCCCAAAUCACGCGAGAAAUUUGUACUCCCGACGAAUACAAGAAGACAACGGACGGAAGACAUUUUCUUUUCUUCGAUAGUGGGCCUACAGCGAAGAGGGUGUUGAUGUUUGCUACGGGAGAAGCGUGUAUACUUUUACGAUGAAAGGGAGACAUCCUCAGCUCGUUGGCUGCGAGAGCGCACGAGAGCGUGGUCCCUGCAGGCAUCCAGUUGAGUCGUUUCCUCUUCUGAGAUGAAAGAACAAUGUUCAUCCCACAUUUUUACUCCCCCUCCUCCCCUGAGCUCAAACCAAAUUUUUACUGUCUCGCUCCCCUAGGGUAGGGGAAGUAUUGUUAUCCCGCAAGGGGGGGAAAAAAAGUUGAAAUUUCAUCAUUGCUAGAUGUUUUAAGGCCCCAGGAGUCAAAAUAACCAUACUUGAAAAAAUGUGUGUCCGUCCAUCGGGCGUACCCCAAAUCUGUGUACAGCGAUAUCUCAGAAUCUAUCUGUUUAAUUUCAUUCAAAAUUUGUACAGAACACCAUAUCUAUGCUUAUGCACGUCACACGAUUUUGGGGUACGCCAAAAUUUGGGGGAGCUACACUGGGAAAAAAAGUCUGCUACGGUCAAGCCGUCUCGGAGUCUUGAGAAAAAAUAAGCUUGAUUCAAGAAUUUUUAUCUUAAAACAAGCAAUUUAUUGCUAAAUUCAAGAUUCGAGAUUUUUAUUUGCAGCUACCCUAUAGCUUGGAUCACUUGCUAGCUUGAUUUAAGCAGCACAAAAAUCUUGAGUCAAACCUGCUGAGUCUUACAUCAAGCCACCAUGACUGCUAAUUCUAAGAAGUUGUUUCUUGAUUCAAGAUACUGUAUACUCGAUUUAAGAAUCCUGGUUUCAAGCAUGACACGAAUCUUGGAAAUAGCUGAAAAAAUUAGACUUAAAUUAAGUUUGCAGCCAACUUUUUGAAUUAAGUUUCCAUUGAAUUAUAACCACUCCGCCUUUAUUUUCGACACGGGCAUUAAGUUACACAUUCCUACAUUCUCAAGUCAUUCCAAGAGAUCUCCAAAAGCCGAGCAUUUUAACAGUGCUGCAAACCGAGAACAAAACCCGCGCGGCAACGCACGACGACUUCAACAUGAUCCAUGUCGAAGAAUCAGUAACGUUUUAUCUCUACGUUACGGAUGAAAAAUGAAUAUAACUUUCAGUAUUUAGUAUUGGAUCCGAGCAUUAAACGAAAAAUAAUUGAGAUUCCGCCGGGUAGCUAAUUUCAAGCAGCACAGCCAUGCUUAUUUCAAGCUAUACGUUUCUUUGCGGCAAAUUUAAGAUUUUUUCCAGCUUGCUUCAAGCUGAUUUUGAUUUGUUUCAAGCUACUUUUUUUCCAGUGUAGGCUAAAUUGUCCAUUUUUAGCAAAAUCACACGGAAAGCUCAUUUUAAAGGAGUGUAAAUUUUGAAAUAUGCCUUUAAUUCUUUAACAAUGGGCAUCAAGCACAUCACCUGGGUCAUUAAUUUAAGUUCCUUAAAGAUCUUUGGACUAAACUCAAAAUUCAAGGGAUUACAAGGCCACUUAGCCAAGUAGGCACUUAUCAAGUAGGGCACUUCACCCCGUGACAUCACACAAACAGCUCAUUAUCAAAGACUGUAAAUUUUUUUAAUCUUCUUUUUACCUUUCUUCCUCUUUUAGGAUUCCAGUUUUGCCCUGUUAAAUGAUUUAUCCUCAAGAGAAACCGUGCCUCAAUGGUUAGGCGGAUGGGGAGGCACGGGCGGGACUCGACGCGUAGCCACACACGAGCCCCCCCCCCCCCCCCCCCGGGUGUGUGUCCUGGAUAGUUGAGAAUAUAAGUCAUAAAAUAAUGACUUCAACAAGCUUAGAGCUAUGCACUUGAUGACAUACCAGAGUUCGCUGUGAUACCUGAGUCGGUCAUUUCUGUAUUGCUUAGAUGAAAAUCACAGUAAAAAACGACAAAACUGUUAAUCUUCUCGAUUAUCCUACUCACAGCCUUAUUUGCAAGAAGGAGGAUCAGAUGCACCAUGGAAUCCCGUCUAAAUUCUAGAGAGAGAGAUGUCUAAAUUUGUGGAUAAAAAAAUUUCCCAAAAUAUACCACCAGCAAUUAUAUGUAUAUGACCAUUGUUAGAGAGAAUUUUCUUGCAAUGGAUCGCCCGGAUGCUCAUGGUACCGGAGUAGGUAAUCUUACAAAGGGGUUGAAGGCGUAAGCUCAUUGUGCAGAGCCAUGACAAAGAUGACGCCAAAAGCAUUUUUUUGUUGGCAUUAGAACGAAUUAAAAAAAAAAAAAAAAACACUGCUAAUUUACAAACCAUUGGUCUCAAAAGUAGUUCAUGGACCACAAGCCAUCGAUGAUCUUCCAAACUCUAAGGAAGAUCUAUUUUUAUUUGCGCUUCUAACAGAAAGUCAACUUGCUCUGUUGAAAAGGCAUGACCCUAAAAGUAUAAUUAUUGAUGAAACACACGGAACUAACCAGUAUAAGUAUCAGCCAAGGAGCUGUGGGCCGGUA